RNAcentral lists this ribosomal RNA (216 nucleotides) under uncultured bacterium. RNAcentral describes it as "partial 16S ribosomal RNA". It matches the Rfam family "Bacterial small subunit ribosomal RNA", at positions 1285 to 1500 of the family's 1533-position model. The record is from RNAcentral.
UACUCAGUUCGGAUUGCAGGCUGCAACUCGCCUGUAUGAAGUCGGAAUUGCUAGUAAUCGCGGAUCAGCAUGCCGCGGUGAAUACGUUCCCGGGCCUUGUACACACCGCCCGUCACACCAUGAGAGCCGGGAACACCCGAAGUCCGUAGUCUAACCGCAAGGAGGACGCGGCCGAAGGUGGGUUUGGUAAUUGGGGUGAAGUCGUAACAAGGUAAC